This 312-nucleotide ribosomal RNA is filed under the name uncultured Glomeromycotina. Its description in RNAcentral is "eukaryotic LSU rRNA". Lineage: Eukaryota; Fungi; Glomeromycota. The record is from RNAcentral.
UUGAAAGGGAAACGAUUGAAGUCAGUUCAUGCCGGUGAGAAAUCAGCUUACAGGCUACUGUGAGUGCACUUUUUCGCAAGGCAGGGUUAACAUCGGUUUGUGUUGCGUCAUAAUGAUUGUAGGAAGGUGGCUGCCUUCGGGAGUGUUAUAGCCUACUUUACAUGGCGCGACGAGGACUGAGGAUUGCAGCGAAUGCCUUUGGCUACGGAUCUUUUCUCUGUCGAUCUUCAAUUGAUCUUCAGCUUGCUGAUGAGCGGUUGAUGGGUUUGCAAUAGGAUGGAAUCCGAUAAAUUCGUUAAGGAUGUUGACGUA